Molecule: ribosomal RNA, 253 nt
Filed under: uncultured bacterium
Lineage: Bacteria
Description: partial 16S ribosomal RNA
Rfam family: Bacterial small subunit ribosomal RNA
Source: RNAcentral
UACGAAGGGGGCUAGCGUUGUUCGGAAUUACUGGGCGUAAAGCGCGCGCAGGCGGUUCUCCAAGUCAGUGGUGAAAGCCCGGAGCUCAACUCCGGAACUGCCAUUGAAACUGUUGAACUUGAGGACGAGAGAGGUGAGUGGAAUUCCCAGUGUAGAGGUGAAAUUCGUAGAUAUUGGGAAGAACACCGGUGGCGAAGGCGGCUCACUGGCUCGUAUCUGACGCUCAGGCGCGAUAGCGUGGGGAGCAAACGGG